GGUACAGGGUGAUACUCCCGUACACUAAAACACACAGGUUGUGAACUCGAAGAGUAGGGCGGGACACGUGGUAUCCUGUCUGAAUAUGGGGGGACCAUCCUCCAAGGCUAAAUACUCCUGACUGACCGAUAGUGAACCAGUACCGUGAGGGAAAGGCGAAAAGAACCCCGGCGAGGGGAGUGAAAAAGAACCUGAAACCGUGUACGUACAAGCAGUAGGAGCCCACUAGUUGGGUGACUGCGUACCUUUUGUAUAAUGGGUCAGCGACUUAUAUUCUGUAGCAAGGUUAACCGUAUAGGGGAGCCGCAGGGAAACCGAGUCUUAACUGGGCGUUAAGUUGCAGGGUAUAGACCCGAAACCCGGUGAUCUAGCCAUGGGCAGGUUGAAGGUUGGGUAACACUAACUGGAGGACCGAACCGACUAAUGUUGAAAAAUUAGCGGAUGACUUGUGGCUGGGGGUGAAAGGCCAAUCAAACCGGGAGAUAGCUGGUUCUCCCCGAAAGCUAUUUAGGUAGCGCCUCGUGAAUUCAUCUUCGGGGGUAGAGCACUGUUUCGGCUAGGGGGUCAUCCCGACUUACCAACCCGAUGCAAACUACGAAUACCGAAGAAUGUUAUCACGGGAGACACACGGCGGGUGCUAACGUCCGUCGUGAAGAGGGAAACAACCCAGACCGCCAGCUAAGGUCCCAAAGUCAUGGUUAAGUGGGAAACGAUGUGGGAAGGCCCAGACAGCCAGGAUGUUGGCUUAGAAGCAGCCAUCAUUUAAAGAAAGCGUAAUAGCUCACUGGUCGAGUCGGCCUGCGCGGAAGAUGUAACGGGGCUAAACCAUGCACCGAAGCUGCGGCAGCGACACUAUGUGUUGUUGGGUAGGGGAGCGUUCUGUAAGCCGUUGAAGGUGGCCUGUGAGGGUUGCUGGAGGUAUCAGAAGUGCGAAUGCUGACAUAAGUAACGAUAAUGCGGGUGAAAAACCCGCACGCCGGAAGACCAAGGGUUCCUGUCCAACGUUAAUCGGGGCAGGGUGAGUCGACCCCUAAGGCGAGGCCGAAAGGCGUAGUCGAUGGGAAACAGGUUAAUAUUCCUGUACUCGGUGUUACUGCGAAGGGGGGACGGAGAAGGCUAUGUUGGCCGGGCGACGGUUGUCCCGGUUUAAGCAUGUAGGCGGAUGUUCCAGGUAAAUCCGGAACGUUAUUAACGCUGAGGUGUGAUGACGAGGCACUACGGUGCUGAAGUGACAAAUGCCCUGCUUCCAGGAAAAGCCUCUAAGCAUCAGGUAACAUCAAAUCGUACCCCAAACCGACACAGGUGGUCAGGUAGAGAAUACCAAGGCGCUUGAGAGAACUCGGGUGAAGGAACUAGGCAAAAUGGUGCCGUAACUUCGGGAGAAGGCACGCUGAUGGUAGGUGAAGCGACUUGCUCGUGGAGCUGAAAUCAGUCGAAGAUACCAGCUGGCUGCAACUGUUUAUUAAAAACACAGCACUGUGCAAACACGAAAGUGGACGUAUACGGUGUGACGCCUGCCCGGUGCCGGAAGGUUAAUUGAUGGGGUUAUCCGUAAGGAGAAGCUCUUGAUCGAAGCCCCGGUAAACGGCGGCCGUAACUAUAACGGUCCUAAGGUAGCGAAAUUCCUUGUCGGGUAAGUUCCGACCUGCACGAAUGGCGUAAUGAUGGCCAGGCUGUCUCCACCCGAGACUCAGUGAAAUUGAACUCGCUGUGAAGAUGCAGUGUACCCGCGGCAAGACGGAAAGACCCCGUGAACCUUUACUAUAGCUUGACACUGAACACUGGUCCUUGAUGUGUAGGAUAGGUGGGAGGCUUUGAAGUGUGGACGCCAGUCUGCAUGGAGCCAUCCUUGAAAUACCACCCUUUAAUGGCUGGUGUUCUAACGUGGGCCCCUGAUCGGGGUUGCGGACAGUGUCUGGUGGGUAGUUUGACUGGGGCGGUCUCCUCCUAAAGAGUAACGGAGGAGCACGAAGGUCAGCUAAUCCUGGUCGGACAUCAGGAGGUUAGUGCAAUGGCAUAAGCUGGCUUGACUGCGAGCGUGACGGCGCGAGCAGGUGCGAAAGCAGGUCAUAGUGAUCCGGUGGUUCUGAAUGGAAGGGCCAUCGCUCAACGGAUAAAAGGUACUCCGGGGAUAACAGGCUGAUACCGCCCAAGAGUUCAUAUCGACGGCGGUGUUUGGCACCUCGAUGUCGGCUCAUCACAUCCUGGGGCUGAAGUAGGUCCCAAGGGUAUGGCUGUUCGCCAUUUAAAGUGGUACGCGAGCUGGGUUUAGAACGUCGUGAGACAGUUCGGUCCCUAUCUGCCGUGGGCGCUGGAGAAUUGAGGGGGGCUGCUCCUAGUACGAGAGGACCGGAGUGGACGCAUCACUGGUGUUCGGGUUGUCAUGCCAAUGGCAUUGCCCGGUAGCUAAAUGCGGAAGAGAUAAGUGCUGAAAGCAUCUAAGCACGAAACUUGCCCCGAGAUGAGUUCUCCCUGACUCUUUGAGGGUCCUGAAGGAACGUUGAAGACGACGACGUUGAUAGGCCGGGUGUGUAAGCGCAGCGAUGCGUUGAGCUAACCGGUACUAAUGAACCGUGAGGCUUAACCUU
Molecule: ribosomal RNA, 2588 nt
Filed under: Klebsiella michiganensis
Lineage: Bacteria; Pseudomonadati; Pseudomonadota; Gammaproteobacteria; Enterobacterales; Enterobacteriaceae
Description: bacterial LSU rRNA
Rfam family: Bacterial large subunit ribosomal RNA
Source: RNAcentral